AGAGUUUGAUCCUGGCUCCAGAUUGAGCGCUGGCGGUAUGCUUUACACAUGCAAGUCGAACGGAUUAUGGAGCUUGCUCCAUAGUUAGUGGCGAACGGGUGAGUAAUAUAUCGGAACAUAUCCGGAAGUGGGGGAUAACGUAGCGAAAGUUACGCUAAUACCGCAUAUGCCCUGAGGGGGAAAGGGGGGGAUCGCAAGACCUCUCGCUUUCGGAGUGGCCGAUAUCGGAUUAGCUAGAUGGUGAGGUAAAGGCUCACCAUGGCGACGAUCCGUAGCUGGUCUGAGAGGACGACCAGCCACACUGGAACUGAGACACGGUCCAGACUCCUACGGGAGGCAGCAGUGGGGAAUUUUGGACAAUGGGCGAAAGCCUGAUCCAGCCAUACCGCGUGAGUGAAGAAGGCCUUCGGGUUGUAAAGCUCUUUCAGCCGGAAAGAAAUUGCUUCUAUUAAUACUAGGAGUAGAUGACGGUACCGGAAGAAGAAGCACCGGCUAACUACGUGCCAGCAGCCGCGGUAAUACGUAGGGUGCGAGCGUUAAUCGGAAUUACUGGGCGUAAAGGGUCCGCAGGCGGGUAAGCAAGUCGGUGGUGAAAUCCUGCAGCUCAACUGCAGAACUGCCUCCGAUACUGUUUAUCUUGAGUACGAGAGAGGAUGAUGGAAUUCAUGGUGUAGCGGUGAAAUGCGUAGAGAUCAUGAAGAACACCGGUUGCGAAGGCGAUCAUCUGGCUCGUUACUGACGCUCAGGGACGAAAGCGUGGGGAGCAAACAGGAUUAGAUACCCUGGUAGUCC
This 792-nucleotide ribosomal RNA is filed under the name uncultured bacterium. Its description in RNAcentral is "bacterial SSU rRNA". It matches the Rfam family "Bacterial small subunit ribosomal RNA", at positions 8 to 796 of the family's 1533-position model. The record is from RNAcentral.